CGGCCGUAGCGCAGCCCGCGCCCGGCGGCGGCGGCGGCGGAGCGAGCGCGCACACGUGACGCGGCGCUCGGUGCUUCUACACUGCCGCGCAGACACACGCACGCACACACUCACACACACGCACACCCGGCGCUGCCCUCGGCUCCUCCGGCCGCGUUCGCCGCCUCCCGCUCCCGUCCGCACGCGUCCCCCGGCCGCCGCCAGGGCGAAGCGCGCUCCGCGGCGGCAGCACCGGCACCGGCGGCGGCGACCGCGCGAAGAGGCGGCGAGAGUUCGCGUGCACCGGCUGCUGCGUGCCCGCCCGGCGAGCGGUGCGCCCGGAGGAUGGCCGGCUGCGGGCUGUCGGAAGACGCGUUCUUCUCCUCCUUCUUUUACAACUACACCGCCUCCUGGGAGACCUCCUACAACCAGGAACAGAACUUCUGCAUGAAGAGGUGCCAGCAGGACCGGGAUGAUUGCUUUGCACGUGUCUGCCCUGCAACAGCAGUUAUUUGGAUCAAUUAGUGAAAACAAAUGCGCAAAUAAUUUCCGCAUUGUUAUCUGGAGAUACAACUGCUAAGUCACUCAGUGAACUGCACGUCGGUGUUUUGGUGCUAAUUCCUCUGUUGUAGUAUUCCAGGCUUCUGAGAUUUCUAUAAUCUUAAAAUAUAAGGCGUAGAAAAAGUAAUCUGUUAAUUAUCAGAGAAGGAAAAAAUAGAAAGUGAGUGAAAGCAGGCGAGAGCUGGUAUCUAUCUUUCCAGCUGCUUCUGCUUAUUUGGAGCAUUUGUGCCUUCAUCUGCCUUGUGUUAUUUAGUCUAAAGCAGAAGUAUUUGCUGUGCAUGCAUGUGAGAUUUCAACUACCACACUUUGGGUUUGUAAUUAAGGAAUUAAUUAAAAUACUAUACAGUUUACUGCACAGUCUAUCAAGAGAAGGGCAGUUUACAAGAUUUUCCACGUGUGUGCUAUAAAUUCAGUGCUACAGAUAUACAGAAUCAUAUUUACACUGACAUUAGAAGUUCUACUCCUCUUGCAGAGGAGUAUCAUGAAAAAUUACUGCGAAGGGCUGGUUGUAAAAUAAUUGUCUCAGCAGAAAUCUAACCAGUAAGAAUGAAAAUCUUAAUACUGAAAGACCAACAUGGAACCUGAAGUGAGAGUAAGAAAGAGUAAAAAGAGAGAUGUAGAAACAAGAAAAAAAGAACAGCACCUUCUUUUCCUUCAUUCCUUUUCUUCCCCACCUCCCCCCUGAAUUUCUGAAUUUAUGUCAGUUUUCUGAUGCUACUGAGGAACUUCUGUCAGCCUUCUCUUGAUGCCUGUUCCAUAGCAGUGUUUCAGAAUCGGAUGUACAAGUCUAAAAAUUGUAUUAUUACUGGAAGCAGAGCCUAAUUUUCAGGCAAUCUGAUUUUGGGUUAUAUGAUGCGAUUUCAUUAACUGUUUAACUGAUUUAACUGUUGCAAUUUCAUUGUCUGCAGAAUUGAGAUAGACUUGAACCAAAGCCACUAAAUAGGAUGCACUCUUUUACAGGUUCUAAGCUGAACCUCAAUUCAUUUUCAGUGAAACUAUGGUUUUCCUACUUUCAUGUGUUGCCAGACAAGUAAAGGAAAAACUCUUGAAGUCAUGCUGCUCAUUAGAAGUGCCUCAUAAUGCUUAAGUUUUGGAAGACAGUGUACAUACAAAUACUGGCAUGAAGCUCUUUACUUCCCAUCUUCCAAAUGAUAAAAAUAAUAAAGAUAGGGGAAAGAUGGUAUGUAUAAAAAAA
RNAcentral lists this long non-coding RNA (1735 nucleotides) under Phasianus colchicus (ring-necked pheasant). RNAcentral describes it as "lncRNA (ENSPCLG00000001865.1)". The record is from RNAcentral. Lineage: Eukaryota; Metazoa; Chordata; Aves; Galliformes; Phasianidae.